This 339-nucleotide ribosomal RNA is filed under the name Triticum aestivum (bread wheat). RNAcentral's name for it is "partial small subunit ribosomal RNA". The record is from RNAcentral. Lineage: Eukaryota; Viridiplantae; Streptophyta; Magnoliopsida; Poales; Poaceae.
AUGGGGGCCGGUCUCUUUGGAUACCUUGACAAAACCACCAUCGAACCAGAAAAAACCCUAGUCAGCAAAACCUCCGAGGGCAAAGAUCAGGUCAUUCCUAACCCUGCUUAUGCUUCUUGGUUGAUCCAGGAUCAACAAAUCAUCGCCUACCUACUCCGCAAUCUCUCUAAGGAGGUGCUAGUUCAGGUUGCUUCCCUAGAUACAUCUCAUGCAAUCUGGACAGCCCUUGCCAAUAUGUUUUCCGCCCAAUCCCGCUCCAAAGCAAACCACGUUUGCAUCUCCCUCACCACCGCCCAGAAAGGAACCCAAUCUGCCGCCACAUACUUCGGUCACAUGCGA